GGUAGCCUAGUGGUUAGAGGGGGGAGGCAGGUAGCCUAGUGGUUAGAGGCAGGUAGCCUAGUGGUUAGAGGCAGGUAGCCUAGUGGUUAGAGGCAGGUAGCCUAGUGGUUAGAGGCAGGUAGCCUAGUGGUUAGAGGCAGGUAGCCUAGUGGUUAGAGGCAGGUAGCCUAGUGGUUAGAGGCAGGUAGCCUAGUGGUUAGAGGGGGAGGCAGGUAGCCUCCUGGUUAGAGGCAGGUAGCCUAGUGGUUAGAGGGGGAGGCAGGUAGCCUCCUGGUUAGAGGCAGGUAGCCUAGUGGUUAGAGGCAGGUAGCCUAGUGGUUAGAGGCAGGUAGCCUAGUGGUUAGAGGGGGAGGCAGGUAGCCUCCUGGUUAGAGGCAGGUAGCCUAGUGGUUAGAGGGGGAGGCAGGUAGCCUCCUGGUUAGAGGCAGGUAGCCUAGUGGUUAGAGGCAGGUAGCCUAGUGGUUAGAGGCAGGUAGCCUAGUGGUUAGAGGCAGGUAGCCUAGUGGUUAGAGGGGGGAGGCAGGUAGCCUAGUGGUUAGAGGCAGGUAGCCUAGUGGUUAGAGGCAGG
Oncorhynchus keta (chum salmon) is the source of this 568-nucleotide long non-coding RNA. RefSeq lists it as uncharacterized. NCBI's taxonomy places the organism in Eukaryota, Metazoa, Chordata, Actinopteri, Salmoniformes, Salmonidae. The record is from RefSeq and is a predicted model, not a curated record. The transcript is spliced from 4 exons.